Molecule: small RNA, 572 nt
Filed under: Pongo abelii (Sumatran orangutan)
Lineage: Eukaryota; Metazoa; Chordata; Mammalia; Primates; Hominidae
Description: processed transcript
Source: RNAcentral
UUCUUUUAGUUUCCGGUAUCUCUGCAAUGGCGGCUCUGGACUCCCUGUCGCUGUUCACUAGCCUCGGCCUGAGCGAGCAGAAGGCCCGCGAGACGCUCAAGAACUCGGCUCUGAGCGCGCAGCUGCGCGAGGCCGCUACUCAGGCUCAGCAGACCCUGGGUUCCACCAUUGACAAAGCUACCGGGACCCUGUUAUAUGGCUUGGCCUCCCGACUCAGGGAUACCCGGCGUCUCUCCUUCCUUGUAAGCUACAUAGCCAGUAAGAAGAUCCACACUGAGCCCCAGCUAAGCGCUGCCCUUGAGUAUGUGCGGAGUCACCCCUUGGACCCCGUCGACACUGUGGACUUCGAGCGGGAAUGUGGCGUGGGUGUCAUUGUGACCCCAGAGCAGAUUGAGGAGGCUGUGGAGGCUGCUAUUAACAGGCACCGGCCCCAGCUCCUGGUGGAACGUUACCAUUUCAACAUGGGGCUGCUGAUGGGAGAGGCUCGGGCUGUGCUCAAGUGGGCAGAUGGCAAAAUGAUCAAGAAUGAAGUGGACAUGCAGGAGGCGGAGGUUGCAGUGAGCGGAGACUGU